This 490-nucleotide ribosomal RNA is filed under the name uncultured bacterium. RNAcentral's name for it is "partial 16S ribosomal RNA". It matches the Rfam family "Bacterial small subunit ribosomal RNA", at positions 29 to 507 of the family's 1533-position model. The record is from RNAcentral.
AUUGAACGCUGGCGGCAGGCCUAACACAUGCAAGUCGAACGGUAACAGGCAACAGCUUGCUGUUUCGCUGACGAGUGGCGGAUGGGUGAGUAAUGUCUGGGAAACUGCCUGAUGGAGGGGGAUUACUACUGGAAACGGUAGCUCAUACCGCAUAGCGUCGCAGGACCAAAGGGGGGGACCUUCGGGCCUCUUGCCAUCGGAUGUGCCCAGUUGGGAUGAGCUAGUGGGUGGGGUAACGGCUCACCUAGGCGACGAUCCCUACCUGGGCUGUGAGGAUGACCAGGCACACUAGAACGGAGAGACGGUCCAGACCCCUACGGGAGGCAGCAGUGGGGAAUAUUGCACAAGGGGCGCAAGCCUGAUGCAGCCAGGCCGCGUGUAGGAAGAAGGCCUCCGGGUUGUAAAGUACUUUCAGCGGGGAUGAAGGGAGUAAAGUUAAUACCGUUGCUCAGUGACGUUACCCGCAUAAGAAGCACCGGCUAACUCCGUG